CCAAGAACUUGCCAUGUGAUCCAUCACUACUAGACUCCCACACCUGCAUUAGAUUUGUUGUUCAGGAUUUUCAUAUAAUUUUCAUAACUGGCUAAGCAUUGGAAAUGGAUGGGGAGAAGGCCUGAUGAAAAUUACUGAGGAAGCCUCUUAGCCUAUGUGCUCUGAGAGUAGUGACACCCAGUAGUCCUUAGAUGAGGGUCUCAUCCUUUUGCCCAGGCUGGUGUACAGUGGUGUGAAUGUAGCUCACUGCAGCCUUCAACUCCUGAUCCUCCAACCCCAGCCUCCAGAGUUGCUGGGAUUACAAGUUCAAGUUGGUGUGUAUCUGCAAAGGCGAUAGAAAGGAGUUCUUACAUGUGCAUAUUCUGAAGAAGGAUGUUACCCUUACUGAAAAACUUAUUCCAAGAUAUGUUUAAUCAAUCAUGAGAAAAAUAGAGACAUCCUUAUGAAUGG
RNAcentral lists this non-coding RNA (450 nucleotides) under Pongo abelii (Sumatran orangutan). The record is from RNAcentral. Lineage: Eukaryota; Metazoa; Chordata; Mammalia; Primates; Hominidae.